Molecule: long non-coding RNA, 521 nt
Organism: Gasterosteus aculeatus aculeatus (three-spined stickleback)
Lineage: Eukaryota; Metazoa; Chordata; Actinopteri; Perciformes; Gasterosteidae
Source: Ensembl
GGUGCCCUGAGAUUAGAAAGCCCUGUGUUCAUUCAUUGAUUCUGUCGCUCUCUUCUCUCUCCAGCAGACGUCCGGUGUGGUAGGGCAGCCGCCUGUUGAAUCCGGUUUUCCUUUGGGUUAAAUGCCCUGGACAACACCCACCAUUUACACUUUACCCUCAUGCACAUCCUACACUACUGAUAAUACUGACAUUCGCAUCCCAUCUGGAAUGGUUAUGGUUUUUCGUUGUUUUGUGUGUUAAAUAAAGAAUGUUACACCUCGGAAACCAGUGUAACUCCAAUCUUGUCAUGGCCCAAAGAGCCAGGUCGUGACAAAUGGGGGCUCGUCCAAUUCUGGUCAGUGAUUUGUUUGAUGAUCAAGUGUGUAGAUUUCGUGUGACGCGUGUUUUUGUGUGGAUCAGCUGUGAGCGGUUGGUGCGCGUUUGGUUUGGUGGUGAUCGCCAGGUUGUCUCUGUUGCGGAAAGUUUGGGAGUCAUGCUGGAUUUUGAAGUUGUGGCUCUGGUUCGUUGGUCCGUUGUAGUU